UAAUGAAGGAAGCAUGGUUGUGUGCACGGAAAUUGAUUCCCUUGGGUCAACAUGUCUGCUCUCUCUGAUCGCUUGAAUUGAUUUGAGGGCCUGGUUGCGACCCACAUUU
Molecule: small nucleolar RNA, 109 nt
Organism: Gastrolobium bilobum
Lineage: Eukaryota; Viridiplantae; Streptophyta; Magnoliopsida; Fabales; Fabaceae
Product: small nucleolar RNA snoR100
Exons: 1
Source: RefSeq, a predicted model, not a curated record